This 254-nucleotide ribosomal RNA is filed under the name uncultured bacterium. RNAcentral describes it as "partial 16S ribosomal RNA". It matches the Rfam family "Bacterial small subunit ribosomal RNA", at positions 524 to 776 of the family's 1533-position model. The record is from RNAcentral.
UACGGGGGAUGCAAGCGUUAUCCGGAUUUAUUGGGUUUAAAGGGUGCGUAGGCUGUGAGGUAAGUCAGCGGUGAAAUGCCCCCGCUCAACGGGGUGAAGUGCCAUUGAUACUGCCUUGCUGGAAUGCGGAUGCCGUGGGAGGAAUGUGUGGUGUAGCGGUGAAAUGCAUAGAUAUCACGCAGAACUCCGAUUGCGAAGGCAGCAUACCGGCGCCCUACUGACGCUGAGGCACGAAAGCGUGGGUAUCGAACAGG